Molecule: long non-coding RNA, 1152 nt
Organism: Galleria mellonella (greater wax moth)
Lineage: Eukaryota; Metazoa; Arthropoda; Insecta; Lepidoptera; Pyralidae
Exons: 4
Source: RefSeq, a predicted model, not a curated record
GUGUACAAAAACAACAUGAAAUCACUCCAAGAUAUAUUUAGAUAAGCGUGUUUUCACUUUAUUUUUUGGUAUUGGUAAAAUAUAUUGGCAGGGGAUCACACAACAUGCACACAAAAUAUUGUGAACCAUCGUGUAUUGCCAUCCCUGAGGAUUAAGGGAUCAUGCUUCUGUACUCAAGACCCUUUUCACCCUUCAAUCUGAAAUGGUCACACAACCACAGCUGCUUGGUGACAAAAACAAAUGUAUCGAAAAUUCUGAUCAUCUUGUUCUAAAAACAUAGUAAAGCGUGCAGCAAUAAAACAAGUUGAUAACCUAGAAAUAAGAUACGUUUCAUCAAUAUAUAUUCAGUUCCAGAUUUUAUCGAGUUUGAAUACGGUACUUACUUGGCCGUCGGUCAUUCUCAACCCAGGAUAUACCGGACCCGUCUCAGAGUAGAUUGUUUUAACAACUGUCAUCACAAGAUAUGAUAAUGGCCGGCUUAACCCAACAGCUUAACGUGACUUCUAAUGCAUGAGAUGGAUUGUAUUUUCUAUCUAAUUUUAUCUUGGAGGGACAUUGCUGCCCAUUCCUCGCCUUCGCUUAAUCGCUUCUUACGACAUCCAUGGAAAAGGAAGGGGUGGCCUACUCUAUGCUGGGACCACACGGCGCAUAAGAUGUUCCAGUAUGAUGUUCGAAAGCAUUAUGGCUUCUGAAAAUUCCCACAGGAACGAGACGAGAGAGAGAUAUCUGGACGGAACUGUGAGGUAUCCAUCUAGUCAAGUAAAGUAAUAAAAUAGAAGGACAGAUAAUAAAAUUGUAUUACAGUAGUAGAAAUUCAGCCAGUAGAAAUGCCUCAGAGAUUGGUCUAAAUUUAGUGUACCAGUAAAAAUUGUUGACUUCUUUUGGAAAAACAUUUUAAUAGCUGUGAAAAACAUUUUUUAAAUAUUGUAUAAACAUAAAAGAUUUAUUUUAUAGAAGAUAGUACAUAUUAUAGAAAAUAACGAUUGAAACCAUAUAUAUAUCAACAUACAUAGUUGAUACUUUUAGGUGAAAUCUCAGAGAUUUUGGUUAAAAAUAAGAAUAAAAACUAUUGGUUAAAAAUGGUUACUUUCUGUUGCUAACCGGUUAGAUUUGUCUGACAAAUAUCAUUUUAAUAAAGUACUACUUCUUUUU